GUAAGGGAUAUUGCGCAAUGGGCGAAAGCCUGACGCAGCAACGCCGCGUGCCCGAUGAAGGCCUUCGGGUCGUAAAGGGCUUUUCUGGCUGAAGAGGAAGGACGGUAAGCCAGGAAAAAGUGUCGGCUAACUACGUGCCAGCAGCCGCGGUAAAACGUAGGACGCGAGCGUUAUCCGGAGUUACUGGGCGUAAAGGGCGGGCAGGCGGACCGACAAGAUGGGUGUGAAAUCUCCCGGCUCAACCGGGAGGGGCCACUCGUGACUGUUGGUCUGGAGGGUGACAGAGGCGCGUGGAAUUCCGGGUGGAGUGGUGAAAUGCGUAGAGAUCCGGAGGAACACCAGAGGCGAAGGCGGCGCGCUGGGUCACAACUGACGCUGAACCGCGAAAGCCAGGGCAGCGAACGGGAUUAGAAACCCGUGUAGUCC
Molecule: ribosomal RNA, 426 nt
Filed under: uncultured bacterium
Lineage: Bacteria
Description: bacterial SSU rRNA
Rfam family: Bacterial small subunit ribosomal RNA
Source: RNAcentral